RNAcentral lists this ribosomal RNA (2928 nucleotides) under Salmonella enterica subsp. enterica serovar Agona. RNAcentral describes it as "23S ribosomal RNA". It matches the Rfam family "Bacterial large subunit ribosomal RNA". The record is from RNAcentral. Lineage: Bacteria; Pseudomonadati; Pseudomonadota; Gammaproteobacteria; Enterobacterales; Enterobacteriaceae.
GGGUUGUGAGGUUAAGCGACUAAGCGUACACGGUGGAUGCCCUGGCAGUCAGAGGCGAUGAAGGGCGUGCUAAUCUGCGAUAAGCGCCGGUAAGGUGAUAUGAACCGUUAUAACCGGCGAUACCCGAAUGGGGAAACCCAGUGUGAUUCGUCACACUAUCAUUAACUGAAUCCAUAGGUUAAUGAGGCGAACCGGGGGAACUGAAACAUCUAAGUACCCCGAGGAAAAGAAAUCAACCGAGAUUCCCCCAGUAGCGGCGAGCGAACGGGGAGGAGCCCAGAGCCUGAAUCAGCAUGUGUGUUAGUGGAAGCGUCUGGAAAGACGCGCGAUACAGGGUGACAGCCCCGUACACAAAAGCGUAUGUGCUGUGAGCUCGAUGAGUAGGGCGGGACACGUGGUAUCCUGUCUGAAUAUGGGGGGACCAUCCUCCAAGGCUAAAUACUCCUGACUGACCGAUAGUGAACCAGUACCGUGAGGGAAAGGCGAAAAGAACCCCGGCGAGGGGAGUGAAAAAGAACCUGAAACCGUGUACGUACAAGCAGUGGGAGCACAGGUUUACCUGUGUGACUGCGUACCUUUUGUAUAAUGGGUCAGCGACUUAUAUUCUGUAGCAAGGUUAACCGAAUAGGGGAGCCGGAGGGAAACCGAGUCUUAAUUGGGCGUUAAGUUGCAGGGUAUAGACCCGAAACCCGGUGAUCUAGCCAUGGGCAGGUUGAAGGUUGGGUAACACUAACUGGAGGACCGAACCGACUAAUGUUGAAAAAUUAGCGGAUGACCUGUGGCUGGGGGUGAAAGGCCAAUCAAACCGGGAGAUAGCUGGUUCUCCCCGAAAGCUAUUUAGGUAGCGCCUCGUGAAUUCAUCUCCGGGGGUAGAGCACUGUUUCGGCUAGGGGGUCAUCCCGACUUACCAACCCGAUGCAAACUGCGAAUACCGGAGAAUGUUAUCACGGGAGACACACGGCGGGUGCUAACGUCCGUCGUGAAGAGGGAAACAACCCAGACCGCCAGCUAAGGUCCCAAAGUCAUGGUUAAGUGGGAAACGAUGUGGGAAGGCCCAGACAGCCAGGAUGUUGGCUUAGAAGCAGCCAUCAUUUAAAGAAAGCGUAAUAGCUCACUGGUCGAGUCGGCCUGCGCGGAAGAUGUAACGGGGCUAAACCAUGCACCGAAGCUGCGGCAGCGACACUGUGUGUUGUUGGGUAGGGGAGCGUUCUGUAAGCCUGUGAAGGUGGCCUGUGAGGGUUGCUGGAGGUAUCAGAAGUGCGAAUGCUGACAUAAGUAACGAUAAAGCGGGUGAAAAGCCCGCUCGCCGGAAGACCAAGGGUUCCUGUCCAACGUUAAUCGGGGCAGGGUGAGUCGACCCCUAAGGCGAGGCCGAAAGGCGUAGUCGAUGGGAAACGGGUUAAUAUUCCCGUACUUGGUGUUACUGCGAAGGGGGGACGGAGAAGGCUAUGUUGGCCGGGCGACGGUUGUCCCGGUUUAAGCGUGUAGGUGUGUGUUCCAGGUAAAUCCGGUUCACUUUAACACUGAGGCGUGAUGACGAGGCACUACGGUGCUGAAGCAACAAAUGCCCUGCUUCCAGGAAAAGCCUCUAAGCAUCAGGUAACAUCAAAUCGUACCCCAAACCGACACAGGUGGUCAGGUAGAGAAUACCAAGGCGCUUGAGAGAACUCGGGUGAAGGAACUAGGCAAAAUGGUGCCGUAACUUCGGGAGAAGGCACGCUGACACGUAGGUGAAGUGAUUUACUCAUGGAGCUGAAGUCAGUCGAAGAUACCAGCUGGCUGCAACUGUUUAUUAAAAACACAGCACUGUGCAAACACGAAAGUGGACGUAUACGGUGUGACGCCUGCCCGGUGCCGGAAGGUUAAUUGAUGGGGUCAGCGCAAGCGAAGCUCCUGAUCGAAGCCCCGGUAAACGGCGGCCGUAACUAUAACGGUCCUAAGGUAGCGAAAUUCCUUGUCGGGUAAGUUCCGACCUGCACGAAUGGCGUAAUGAUGGCCAGGCUGUCUCCACCCGAGACUCAGUGAAAUUGAACUCGCUGUGAAGAUGCAGUGUACCCGCGGCAAGACGGAAAGACCCCGUGAACCUUUACUAUAGCUUGACACUGAACAUUGAGCCUUGAUGUGUAGGAUAGGUGGGAGGCUUUGAAGUGUGGACGCCAGUCUGCAUGGAGCCGACCUUGAAAUACCACCCUUUAAUGUUUGAUGUUCUAACGUGGACCCGUAAUCCGGGUUGCGGACAGUGUCUGGUGGGUAGUUUGACUGGGGCGGUCUCCUCCUAAAGAGUAACGGAGGAGCACGAAGGUUGGCUAAUCCUGGUCGGACAUCAGGAGGUUAGUGCAAUGGCAUAAGCCAGCUUGACUGCGAGCGUGACGGCGCGAGCAGGUGCGAAAGCAGGUCAUAGUGAUCCGGUGGUUCUGAAUGGAAGGGCCAUCGCUCAACGGAUAAAAGGUACUCCGGGGAUAACAGGCUGAUACCGCCCAAGAGUUCAUAUCGACGGCGGUGUUUGGCACCUCGAUGUCGGCUCAUCACAUCCUGGGGCUGAAGUAGGUCCCAAGGGUAUGGCUGUUCGCCAUUUAAAGUGGUACGCGAGCUGGGUUUAGAACGUCGUGAGACAGUUCGGUCCCUAUCUGCCGUGGGCGCUGGAGAACUGAGGGGGGCUGCUCCUAGUACGAGAGGACCGGAGUGGACGCAUCACUGGUGUUCGGGUUGUCAUGCCAAUGGCACUGCCCGGUAGCUAAAUGCGGAAGAGAUAAGUGCUGAAAGCAUCUAAGCACGAAACUUGCCCCGAGAUGAGUUCUCCCUGAGACUUAGAGUCUCCUGAAGGAACGUUGAAGACGACGACGUUGAUAGGCCGGGUGUGUAAGCGCAGCGAUGCGUUGAGCUAACCGGUACUAAUGAACCGUGAGGCUUAACCUUACAACGCCGAAG